GACGUCACACGGCGUCGGCACACCCAACGCCCCGCCCUCCAGGCACUGGGGAGGGGAAGCCAAAGGACGGAAACCGGCAAGAGACGCCGGCGCAGCCUUCCUCACUCCUCCCCAAGACUGUCAGCGCAGGCCCCGCCCCCUCAGCCAUCCAAUCGGCUCUCGGCCCCACCCUCCUCCCGCUUCCGCCGUCGCUGCAAAGCGUCAGCAUUGCCUCGCCUAGUCUUUCUUCUGCAGAUCUUUUUUGGACAGCUGCUAUGUAUCAGCACUGGGACUGCAUCAGUGAAAAAUGAUACAAACAAAAACCUCUGACUUCGUGGAGCUCAUAUUCUAACGUAUAUGCCCAGAAGUGGGAUUUCUGGAUCAUAUGGAAUACAACGUAUUACAGAAGAAUGGGAAUAGUAACAAUAUGAGAAGAUGUCCAUCGUACAUGGUUAAACAGGAAAAAUGCAGGCUGCAGAACAGGAGCUGCCCAAGCCUCACUCAGGGUUUUACAUAUGAUAUAGAAUACUUAUAUUUUUACCUAUCCAAGAGCUAAAAAGUCCUACAUUACAAAUAUUUCUGGACCGCAAAGUUUUCAGCACAGUAAGACCAGGUCCACAUCUGCGGGUAUCUAGAUCAGUGACAUGCAGUAGGCAGAGCCCAACGCCUGCCCGAGUCUGUGCGUUUCGUCACCUGAUGGUCCAGGGGGCUGUUCAGAGGCCUAAAGAAGAGCGCCCAGUGGCAUAGCGCCUUGUGUGCCCUUGCCACUGUUCUCCACGCACACGCAUUUCUGUAUGUGGCGCUGUUACCUGUAAAGUGAAAGACUGGAAGCAACCUAAAUGUCCAAGAUUAGGGAAAUUUUCAUCGAUACUGUGUUACAGCCAAGUGCUGUAUAUUUUGUAGCUAUUCCAGCAAUCCAUAUAAUAUUAGGUAGCAAUGUGGGAGAAGAAUUCAAAUAUACAUUUAAGUGAAAAGGUAAGACACAAAAUGAUUUGUAUGCUUUAACACAACUUAUAUAAAAGUCAGUGCACAUGGUGGGGAGGGGGAAGUGGAAGAACAUACCCAGACCUGAUGAGUAGUUCCUGUUCUAGGGUAGUAUGGUUAUGGAUAGUUUCCUCCUUAGUUUCAAAAUUGUCAUAGUAUUACUACAUUGCUUUUUGUAGAAAAUUAAGUAUAUCAUGCACAUAUACAUGUGUGCUUCUUCCAAGACAAAGUUUAGGACUUUGCUAGGUCUUGGAUUUUAAUAUUAUCAAUUAGAAAUUGAAGUAAUAGAAGUUCUUCUUCAAACUGGUUCAACCUAAGGGAAUUUAUUGGGAUUUAUCACUGGAAAGUUCAGAGGUGGGACCACCCCCAGGGUGAGCUGUUCCAGAGAUUCAUGGGAUCCUCGGUGCUGGGGUUCCACUUCUCCUGACUGCCUUCCUGCACAAAUCAGCAGACUUUUUGUCACACUUACUCCCAGCAGAAAAAUGGCUGCAGCAGCUCCUUAUUAGAGAAAGAGCAAGGUCAACUCUUUUCCAAACCAUUGAACAAGUUUUUGCUUCACACUGUGGACCAGUUGCUGAGACCAGGGACUGCUGCACUGGCUUAAGGUUACAUUAUGCCACCUGCAUAUCAGUGUGUGGUAAGCUGGUUACAGUCACAAAUAUUUGCUGCCCCUACCUGUGAGAGGAUUUUGCUUCCCCACCUCACUGACAUCAAACUUGGCCUCUCUUGCUCUGGCCAUUGAAAUGCAAAUACCGAUGUUCAAACCCAAAAUGUUUCAUAGCGGUUGAACGCUGCAGUUGGCUGCACUGAAACCAUUUUGUUCCUCUGUCAGGUGGAAGGGUUCAGAGCCACCCUGUGGUUUGCAGUCCUCCUUCCCGUCUGCUGCAGCUCCUGGCAUUAUUCCAGACAGAGGCUUCACGGUCAGCCAGGGCUUGAGGAUGGAGAUGAAACUCAUAGAGCCACAGCCAAACCGAGGUGCCAGCGUAGCCUGAGCUGCACCUCUGUCACUACAAGCUGCUGGGAUUUGCCAGAUGUUUGUUACUGAACAUAACCUGGUCUCUCCUGACUGGGCCUGAGUCCUGCCUUAGCCAUUUCCGAUCUAUGUGACCUUGGACAAGUGACUUCAUUUAUCGAUGCUUACUUACGUGAUUCAGAAAUAGAGAUGAUAUGUACAAUUCCUGGUACAAGCUCAAAAAUGACAACGAUCAUUAUUUGUUGAUAAUAAGAAUUACCAUUCUUAACUCCCAUGGGGGAUUUUCUUCUAACUAACCUCAGUGAUUCUCAGCGGGCGAUCAAAGUGCUGCCAUCUGAAAAAGGAGGUAUAUUGUGUUCCUUUUCACAAAGGCAAAGUUACAGACUCCAAGUCUCAAUAUAUACACUGAUUAUCUGUAGAUAGAACAAGAACUUCUUCCUCAAAAUAUAAGUGUUAGUUCCUGGAAUGCACUUAUUGUUUUUUUUUUAAGGAAUGAAAAAAAAAGAUUAACCCAAAAUUUCAUAUGGGAAAAAUGCUUUUUCACGUUCAAUACCAAAAUGUGAUAUAACUUUUCAACACUACAGUCUGGCUUCACUGAAGUAAUUUUGUUCCUUCUGUGAGUUAUCUAUUAUUGAAGAUAGUCAGGCAACGGAUAUUGAAAUAAAUGAUUUUUCUAUUCCAUUGUGAAAACUCUUGUAUUCCCUGCAUCCCUUCCCACAGAGUGAUGUAUUCUUUUGUGUGUGUGAGAGAGAGAGAGAUUAUAGUCAGAUGAAUGCAAUUUAAAAGUAAAAUUUCCACUUUCUUUUUAAAUUGAGAUUAUAAUUACAUCUAGACUUGAAUCUAAGUUGACUUGAUUUUGUAAUCAAUAAUUAUUUUACAUUAUGGAACACAUUUUCUAUCUUAGACAUCCAUCACUGACAUCUGAUGUCUGAUACAUGUUUCAGAUAGUGUAGGUUUUAUCUUGCUUAGAUUUCUGGUAUCCAGUAAUUAAGGUAUGAGGCAAUUAUUUGUCCCUUAAGAUAAAAAAUGUGCUUUGAAAAAUGUAGUGUAAACUAAGUCAUGCCUCAAAUGCAUUAGAGCUGUAGUUCUCACACACUGCCGUGUAGCAAAGCUACUAGAAACUUUACACACACACACACACAUGUACAUUUCUGGGCCCUACCCAAGGACUUGUGAAUUACAGUCUUUGAAAGUGGGGCUCAAAUUUUUGUAUUUAAAAAGGCUUCUCAGACAUAGAUCUUGGCUUUUAAAUAUUAUUCCCCACCAAAAGAAACUAAAGAUCCUCGGUGAAGUGGCUGAUUCUAGGGCCAAGAUGGGAAAAAUAUAAAACAAGCUUAGAACAUUUUCUUGUGCCAGAAAGAAAGUUGCUCAAAGAAUGGUGGGGGUCAUGUUCAGGAACACAGAAGCCGACUUGAUGGGGCGCUCGAUGGCCACAUUUGGGAAAGUUUGAGCAUGAAAAUAAAAGAACAAUGUAGCUUAUAACCCAUUGAAUAAAAUAAGUCAGUAUAGAUAUAAAAAAGGAAGGAAGGAAGGAAAGGGUCUUACAAUAGAACACCAACUAGUAAAUGGAGACGGACGGAAUAAUGCAAUUAAAAAAUCACCAGUUGGGCAAGAAUCGUCAAUAGAUGCUAAAACCAAUGGGUGAGAGUUUAAUGAGGAAUAGAAUAUUUUCAUUGUCUCAGAGUAUCUUCCCAUUAAUUACUUGUUAAUAAAAAAAAAAAGAAAAAUAGUGAAAAAGCCUGGCAGGUACCACCUGUACUGGCUUAAAUGGUGCCCCCCAAAGAUUUUUCCACGUUCUAACCCCCAGGAUCUUUGAAUGUGACCUUAUUUGGGGAAAAAAAGGGUCUUUGCAGAUGUAGUUAAGUUAAAGAUCUCAAGAUGAAAUCCUCUUGGAUUACUCAAGCUCUAAAUCCAAUGACAAGUGUGUUUAUGAGAGACCAGAAGAGGAGGAAGGCCAUGUGAAGAUAGAAGCAGAGGUUGGCAUGAGGCAGCCACGGGAAAUGCAGACAGCCACUAGAAGCUGGAAGAUGCAAGGAAGAAAGAUUAUACCCUAGAACCUCCAGGAGUACAGCCCUGACAACACCUUGAUUUUGGACUCUGACCUCCAUACUGUGAGAGAAGGCUCUUCUGUUUUAAGCCACCCAAUUCAUGCUAACUUGUUAGGCUAGCCCUAGAAAACUAAUAUACCACCUUGACCAGAUGAUCAGUUAACAUCACCAAUAAAGGCUUUAACCUGUAUCUCAUGGUUCCUGACGAGAUGCCCUGAGAAGUUCACAGCAUUGCUCUCAUAAUGUUUCUGCCAAAAUUGCACAACCUGAAUCUAAUCAUGGGUACAUAUCAGACACAACCAAACUGAAAGCCAUUCUACAAAAAGUAGUCUGUACUCUUGAAAAAUACUGAGGUUUAAACACCAGUGAAAGUCUGAGAAACUGCUCUAGAUUAAAGGAGAUUAAUUCUUAAAGGAUAUUUAGUGUCAUUGCUAGGAAGUUAGCCUAUAGAUACACAAGCACACGUGCCCUGGGAAAAUGUGCAUAGAUAUCUAUCUCAACAUUGUUGGUAAUAACAAAGAUAUUUUUAAAGAAGCCACAAAACAACCAAAACAUCAAUCAGUGGUGGUCAAAGAGUUAUAGUACAUCUAUAUAUACAUACCUGGUGUAAAGAAUUAGGGAAAGGUGUGUAGGAUGUACCACUAGGUAGAUAAAGCAAGCUGCAGAACUCUAAAAAAAAAAGAAGAGAGAGAGAGACUAAAACACAUGAUAACAAAAUACAACAUGUGUCCUUCACUGGAGUCUGGACUGUGAAAAGCAUUGUCAUUUUGGGGAACAAUUGGCAAAAGUCGGAUAUGGACUGUGGAUUGAAUAAUAAUAUUGUAUUAUAUUGAAGUUCCUGUUUUUGUUACUCAUACUGUGACUAUUCAAGAGAAUAGCUUUGUUCUUAGGAAAUACAUACUUAGUAUUAAGGGGUAAGAGUGUAUCCUCCCUGCAGCUUAGUCCCAAAUGAUUCAGAAAAAAAGUGGGAAAGAAAAAGAAAAAGUACAUCUGGCAAAUGUUAGCAAGUGGGACAUGAGCGUUCUUUGUACUAUAAUUGCGAUUUUUCUGUACAUUUGUAGUUAUUUCAAAACAAGAUGUAAAAAAAGAAAACUUACUGGAUUAUUAUAAUGUGUAACCACCACGUUAAAAUUUACUUUUAGGGCAGCUGUUCUCAUCUGGGUGAUUUCACCUCCCAGAAAACAUACAGAAAUGUCUGAAGACAUGUUUGCUCAUCAGUGACUGCACAGGAUGGGGAAGAGUAGGUGGAUCGGAGAGGCACUGCUGGCAUCCAGUGUUUAUAGAGGUCAGGGGUGCUACUAAAAUAGUAACGCGCAGGGGACAACCACCCACAACAAGUAGUUUUCCAGCCUCAAGUGUCAAUAGUGCCACUGUUAGGAAACCUUGCCUUACGAAAAUUACACAUCUCCAGUAAUAUAACCAGAUUCUAAAUACUUAUGGGAAA
Non-coding RNA from Vicugna pacos (alpaca), 5428 nucleotides. NCBI's taxonomy places the organism in Eukaryota, Metazoa, Chordata, Mammalia, Artiodactyla, Camelidae. The record is from RefSeq and is a predicted model, not a curated record.